RNAcentral lists this transfer RNA (81 nucleotides) under Candidatus Bathyarchaeota archaeon. RNAcentral describes it as "tRNA-Pro". It matches the Rfam family "tRNA". From Rfam's summary of the family: Transfer RNA (tRNA) molecules are approximately 80 nucleotides in length. Lineage: Archaea; Thermoproteati; Candidatus Bathyarchaeota. The record is from RNAcentral.
GGGGCUGUCGGCUAGCAUGGUCUAGGCUUGGAGACUUGGGCUCAUGCGGGAAGGACCCCGGUUCAAAUCCGGGCAGCCCCA